RNAcentral lists this ribosomal RNA (114 nucleotides) under Acanthosepion pharaonis. Lineage: Eukaryota; Metazoa; Mollusca; Cephalopoda; Sepiida; Sepiidae. The record is from RNAcentral.
UUGCAGCCAGAUCAUGCUGAAACACCUGUUCUUGUAUGAUCACCAGAGUUAAGCAAUGUCAAGCCUGGUCUGUACCUAGAUGAGUGACUGCUUGGGAAUACCAGGUGCUGUAAG